GCAUAUCAAUAAGCGGAGGAAAGAAACCAACAGGGAUUGCCCCAGUAACGGCGAGUGAAGCGGCAACAGCUCAAAUUUGAAAUCUGGCCCCCGUGGUCCGAGUUGUAAUUUGUAGAGGAUGCUUUUGGUGAGGUGCCUUCCGAGUUCCCUGGAACGGGACGCCACAGAGGGUGAGAGCCCCGUCUGGUCGGGACACCACAACCUCUGUAAAGCUCCUUCGACGAGUCGAGUAGUUUGGGAAUGCUGCUCUAAAUGGGAGGUAUAUGUCUUCUAAAGCUAAAUACCGGCCAGAGACCGAUAGCGCACAAGUAGAGUGAUCGAAAGAUGAAAAGCACUUUGAAAAGAGGGUUAAAUAGUACGUGAAAUUGUUGAAAGGGAAGCGUUUGUGACCAGACUUGGGCCCGGUUAAUCAUCCAGCGUUCUUCGCUGGUGCACUUGGCCGGCCCAGGCCAGCAUCAGUUUGCCGCGGGGGAUAAAGGCUUCGGGAACGUGGCUCCUCUGGAGUGUUAUAGCCCGUUGCGUAAUACCCUGCGGCGGACUGAGGUUCGCGCAUCUGCAAGGAUGCUGGCGUAAUGGUCAUCAACGACCCGUCUUGAAACACGGACCAAGGAGUCGUCUUCGUAUGCGAGUGUUCGGGUGUCAAACCCCUACGCGUAAUGAAAGUGAACGGAGGUGGGAGCCUCGGCGCACCAUCGACCGAUCCUGAUGUUUUCGGAUGGAUUUGAGUAAGAGCAUACGGGGCCGGACCCGAAAGAAGGUGAACUAUGCCUGUAUAGGGUGAAGCCAGAGGAAACUCUGGUGGAGGCUCGCAGCGGUUCUGACGUGCAAAUCGAUCGUCAAAUAUGGGCAUGGGGGCGAAAGACUAAUCGAACCUUCUAGUAGCUGGUUUCCGCCGAAGU
RNAcentral lists this ribosomal RNA (899 nucleotides) under Thyronectria ilicicola. RNAcentral's name for it is "LSU rRNA". It matches the Rfam family "Eukaryotic large subunit ribosomal RNA", at positions 38 to 967 of the family's 3401-position model. Lineage: Eukaryota; Fungi; Ascomycota; Sordariomycetes; Hypocreales; Nectriaceae. The record is from RNAcentral.